UACGGGGGGAGCAAGCGUUGUUCGGAAUUACUGGGCGUAAAGGGUGCGUAGGCGGUUGCUUAAGUCUGUUGUGAAAUCCCCGGGCUCAACCUGGGAAUGGCAAUGGAUACUGGGCAGCUAGAGUGUGUCAGAGGAUGGUGGAAUUCCCGGUGUAGCGGUGAAAUGCGUAGAGAUCGGGAGGAACAUCAGUGGCGAAGGCGGCCAUCUGGGACAACACUGACGCUGAAGCACGAAAGCGUGGGGAGCAAACAGG
Molecule: ribosomal RNA, 253 nt
Filed under: uncultured bacterium
Lineage: Bacteria
Description: partial 16S ribosomal RNA
Rfam family: Bacterial small subunit ribosomal RNA
Source: RNAcentral